RNAcentral lists this transfer RNA (87 nucleotides) under Deinococcus hopiensis KR-140. It matches the Rfam family "tRNA". Rfam says of the family: Transfer RNA (tRNA) molecules are approximately 80 nucleotides in length. Their secondary structure includes four short double-helical elements and three loops (D, anti-codon, and T loops). Further hydrogen bonds mediate the characteristic L-shaped molecular structure. tRNAs have two regions of fundamental functional importance: the anti-codon, which is responsible for specific mRNA codon recognition, and the 3' end, to which the tRNAs corresponding amino acid is attached (by aminoacyl-tRNA synthetases). tRNAs cope with the degeneracy of the genetic code in two manners: having more than one tRNA (with a specific anti-codon) for a particular amino acid; and 'wobble' base-pairing, i.e. permitting non-standard base-pairing at the 3rd anti-codon position. The record is from Rfam by way of RNAcentral. Lineage: Bacteria; Thermotogati; Deinococcota; Deinococci; Deinococcales; Deinococcaceae.
GGAACGGUGUCCGAGUGGUUGAAGGAGCACGCCUGGAAAGCGUGUAUAGGGGCAACUCUAUCGAGGGUUCGAAUCCCUCCCGUUCCG